AGAAUUAGCCGUGAAUUCGAAUUAGAACUAAAAUCAAAAUUUGUGUUUAAAUUAAAAAAAAAAAACACAAAAAAAACAACACUGCAGAGCAAGGGGAGGCACUUUGGUGGAAGCGCACAAGGCCGGCGAGUGGUGGGUUUCCAACUAUAAAGAAAGAAAUGUGGAAGAAGUAAACAGUGGUGGUUAAAUAAGUAAAUAAGCGAAUAGCUGUCGUCACGGCGGAUGACAUCCGACGCCCCAGGCUUUGGUUUUACAGCCUUUUGGCACACGCAAGUCCUCAUCGCCCGAGCAUCGUGUGAUACAAAGCGUGAGGAUAUCGCGUACCGUACGGCAUUACGGAUCAGAGCCAUCCGUGCAAGCAGCUAUUUUCACUCUCCCCAUACCCAGGGAUUCUCUCCACAAAAGCCCCGAAUUUCAUGACUCUGACAUCUGAACAGCUGAAAAUGAGCGAUGUGAUAUGGAUGUGUCCAGCCCAAGGCUCUGUGUGUCAGCACCUACUCCUGUACUUCAGCACCCUGUAUAUGUCAUUCUAACAAAACUCUCAGUAAUAGUUUAAUAUACCAAUAAAAUGUUGCAAUGCCUGAGGAAGCAUUAAAA
Long non-coding RNA from Meleagris gallopavo (turkey), 597 nucleotides. RefSeq lists it as uncharacterized. The record is from RefSeq and is a predicted model, not a curated record. Lineage: Eukaryota; Metazoa; Chordata; Aves; Galliformes; Phasianidae.